UACGUAGGGUGCAAGUGUUGUCCGGAUUUAUUGGGCGUAAAGAGCUCGUAGGCGGCUUGUCGCGUCGGAUGUGAAAACCCAGGGCUCAACCCUGGGCCUGCAUUCGAUACGGGCAGACUAGAGUAUGGCAGGGGAGACUGGAAUUCCUGGUGUAGCGGUGAAAUGCGCAGAUAUCAGGAGGAACACCGGUGGCGAAGGCGGGUCUCUGGGCCAAAACUGACGCUGAGGAGCGAAAGCGUGGGGAGCGAACAGG
This 253-nucleotide ribosomal RNA is filed under the name uncultured bacterium. RNAcentral describes it as "partial 16S ribosomal RNA". It matches the Rfam family "Bacterial small subunit ribosomal RNA", at positions 524 to 776 of the family's 1533-position model. The record is from RNAcentral.